AUGGGAGCAGACAGGGUUCUUGGUUCCCAGCGCCGUAUAUUUCAGCAGAAAAGACAGACGAGGAGCUUGGAACCGAACCGGCAGCCGGUGACUGCAGGGAAACUCUCGAGACGUGAGACCGCAGGAACUCGAGUGCAGCAGCCGCAAGAAGCUUCUUCUCAAAACCAUGACUGCGAUUCCACAGCCUUGAAGCUACCGCUUUGGAGCUCGCAAUCGGAUCCCGCAGUUCCCCUUCUUCGCGUGGAAACAGCCCCGAGUAGAUCACAGACAAACAGCGCUCCGCCCUCCAGUCUUCGCGGUGUAGAGAAGCACAGACCCACCCCGCACACUUAAGAAAAGCUAGUUGAAGUCCAAAGUAUGAGUUAGAAAUUGUGCGUGAAUUUUAACCAAAUGCUUCAAUAGAUGAUCAGCAUUCAUGAACAUCGAAUGAGUUUAAGCUUCUCAAAGUCAAAUUAACAUCAACUUCAAUUGAAAGUAAAUUAUCUCCCCCCAAAUUAAAGGCUUCAUUGAGGAAAGAAUGUGAAUACAAAGUUACCCCUCUCAUCUAAGUAAUUCAGCUGAUUUCUCUUUUCUAGGGCAGGAAAGUAGGUUUCAUAAGAUAGAAAGAACGUGUUCAAUAAAUUACAAUAACUGUAACACUUUGCAGCUGGUUGGCUCAGAUUUUUCUAAUAAAGUUCAAAAAUUAAGAGAUGAUUGCUUUUCAGUUUGAGACUUUUUAUAAUUCAUGCAGCCAUCUCUAAGUAAAAGUAAAAUAUAUAGUAUUCUAAAGACAGGGAUAUGGAUUUGAAUUUGAUUUAAAAAACAGCAGGCGGUAAAGCAUUCAGGCCAUUAAGACAUAAAUUAUCACUUGCGGGAGUAGAUGAGAGCUUGGUUCCGAUAGAGCUGAUGUUAAAUCAGAAUUAGAGCAACGUUCUCAGUAUGAUUUUAAGUGCUCAGGCUCCUGUUCUGAACUGCCCCUCAUUCUCCCUUCCACCCACAAAUAAAAAUGUGCGGGAUGAGGAAGACUGGUUUUACGAUGUUCCACACAAAGUAUUUCCUGCCACUCUGACCAAGUCCCAACCUGGUCUACGAAAAGAGGGUGAAUUUCCAG
This 1090-nucleotide long non-coding RNA is filed under the name Fukomys damarensis (Damara mole-rat). RNAcentral describes it as "lncRNA (ENSFDAG00000030977.1)". The record is from RNAcentral. Lineage: Eukaryota; Metazoa; Chordata; Mammalia; Rodentia; Bathyergidae.